UGCUAGGAAAAGGAGAGAUUAUAAAGUUUCUAUUGAAGUUUCUAUUAAAGUUUCUAUUCUAUUCACAGUACAGUAUGUGGUCAGAAUGAAAAGAUGCAAAUCUUUAGUUUAUAAUAUAACAAGUUGACAGUUGAUUUUUUAAAAAAUAAUAAUUAAGAUUACUAGUUAGAGAGUUUGUUUUAAUACCAAGAGAGAUAGACGAAAUAUUUCAUCGACGAUUCAUCAUUUGUAUCUUUCUUAAGCUUAUUUCGUUAUUUCUAACGCAGUUUACAGAUGUUAUACAGAUCCUAACUACUUGUAUUUACUUUCAAGAAUAAAUAUCACAUUGUUUAACCGGGCAAAUACAUAUAACUUUCUAUAUGUACAAGUUAAGUCAAACAUCAAGAUGUACGCAGUCUGACUAAGAACGUACUUAUAUUAGUUAUUUCAUCGCUACUGCAAAUUCUACAAUUCGUUCCACUAUUGUUUUUACAUUCCCGUUUUCAAGCAUUAAACUGCGUCGAGAAAAAUAAUUUCACUGUUCUAUCGCGACAACAGUUCUUUCGAAACAGUGUACUAUAAAAAUAUAUUAAAUCACUUGUUUCGCCUUUAUUUUUUUCAUUUUCAUAUUUUAUACGCGUUAAUAUACUUUUACGACGCGCGAUAUAUUAACAACAUUAGCCGAGAUAUUAUUUUAACGAUCCUUUAAAAUUUCACAAUUUCUCGCGCGAACGGAGCAAGGAUUAACCUUUGCAUAUCGUCUCUCUAUAUCGAAUCAAUCAUCACUAGCGCAAUCGAAACGCGGUAUUAGAUGUUUUAGCCCGCGCGAAAUUUCAGAUAACUGGUAAUAGGAUAACCAAGUAUUCCCUGUAGGCGGCGUUAGAUAAGCAGGAUUCCAACAAUACAUUCGUGCCGAUUCUCCCCUCCCCAGGAUCAUUAUUCCCCUUAAUCUAGAUUUUCGAUUUUACCCUCGCAAUUUACCCCCCUUGGAACUGUGCAAUGAACUGUAAAAUAUGAUGCACUUUCUCAAGUGUAUCCGAACGAUUAAUCAAUGCCAUAUUCAAUCAAUUUUACAUUUUCUCAAUCCUUUCUCUCUAGUCUUUCGAAUAUUCAAAGUUAAAUAUUUAAAAGUUUUUCCUUCGACUUGGCGUAUAUGUUGUGUAUAUUGUUCCCUCAAACUCGUUCUCUCAUACAGGAUAAAGAAUGCUUGGUUAUGCGAGUAUAUUUAUAUAUCUCGUUACAUUAUGUACAGAGUUACAUUCUAUGUACGAUCCUUAUUUAUUAAAACAGCGGCAACAGUGACAAGGAUAUAUUACCUGGUUUCGUGCGAACCUUCUGAAAUAUAAUUUAGAUAGUUCGAGAGAUCCGUGGGCAGAGCAGUGUACCAAUAAUACCACAGAAUUAAUGGGAUAGAGAAGAAAUAAUUGUGUAAUUCUCGAGAUGAUUCGUCGUAAAUAACUCUCCCUUUGUUUCUCUUUAUUUCAGUUACACUCACGUACAACACUGUUCUAUCCCCGGAAUCGAAAGUUCAUUCGCAGCGAGAAAAAAAAAAAAAUCUCUUGCACUUUCUACUGUCGCGAGAAUCGCAAAUCGUUCGACGGAAAGCUUUUUAACCGUGCCAACGAAAAAACGUGACGAGAAACGAAACCCGGAGGUCCAGAGGAGGGUGAAAGGGACGACGCGCGACUCGGUGGUUGAACCAGUUGUUGAGCAGGCGAGGGUGGCGCAAAAAAAAAAAAAAAGGAACUUGCAACGGUCGUCGUGUCUUUUCGGUUUCGCCGGCGGAUUAAAAAGCGACGAGCGUAAGGGAGGGAGGGAAGGGAGGGCGUUCAAAACAGUGGAGGACGAGGUAGCAUGAUUUUUAAAGAACCAAGUUUCUCUCAGUUUGAAGAGGUGCAGUUUUCAGUUGCUCGUUAACGUUGCAGGUAACGUGAAGAUUCUUCUGGCGCCGAGAUACGUAUGUAGGGAUGAAAGGGUGGAGGGGUGAGGAGGAAGAAGGCCGUAGCCGAAUUGCUUUUCGCGAUACUCGACGUGAGGGAUGGAUCGAGGAAGGGAAGAGGAGGAGGAGGAGAAGGGAAGGGGAGGUUGAACGCCGAAGACAAACGAUGGAGAGAGGUUUAAGGGUGGAGGAGGAAGGUCGAGGAGGGGAUGUAAAUGUGUAAGCACGUAACUUUUCUCUCUCGUGUGCAAAUGCCUUCGGGAGCGUUAUGAAUGGUUGAACGGGCGUGUUUCCGCUCGGAGCGUAAAAAUAGGGGCGAGUGCAGGGGUUCGUUGAAGCCUCUGCCAUUAGCUGAACGAGACGUUAUGGUCGUUUUAUCCCUUAGCCGCGAGGAAUGCGGCUACCGAUAUUCAGCCUCCUUGGAAUGGGCUCGCGUCUCCGGAUCUUGGAACUAUUUCCACGGUCUUUCUUUGGAUUUGAUUGAAAAAAAGAGAGAAAAAAAAUGUGGCAUUAAAAAAUAGGAAGACAAAUUGUUACAGAAUUUACCUAUUUUCUGCUAUUUCCUGUCUCCAACAUGUCUUCCAAUGGUCGAUCAAUUCUAUUCGAAGUAGAAAUAUGAUGGAGAAUUUGUUAAAACGAAAACACCAACCGUUUUUUUCCGUCUCACGAAUGGAAUAUUAUUUAUUUUCGAUGAAAUUAUCAAUGUUAAAAGGUUCGCUAAGCAUUCGACCAUUUUACGCGCAAAAAUCCACGGUUGGUUGUUCAAUUCCGCGAUGAAAUAAAAAUAUGACGGGGAUGAGAAAUUUGUUACAGGGAUGGAAAAAAAGGAAUCGUUUAAAAAUACCGAUUUAUCGCAUCGCUAUUUAUUUUGUUACGCUCGAUGUUAUUUUUAAUGAAGUUACAUAAACGUUAAAAAUUUCAUAAACGUUUCGCCCGCGAUGGAAUCUUUGGUUGCCGGUAUUCGAUUCUGAAAUAAAGAUGCGACGAAAGUAAAUGAGAGGAACACAACGAAGAUAAGAAUUUAUUAUUGGAAUGAUAAAAAAAAAAAAAAGAAAAAAAAUCUCUGCUCUGGAAAAUACCGAUUUAUCGUAUCGCUGGAACACGGUUUCAACGUUACGAUGGUAACACGCUGGUCGAGCCAAGUGUUUUGAUUCGUCGAAUAAACGCAAAGGGGUGCAACGACCGCGAACAAGCGUCAUCGAUCCAUGGCGAUUAUUGACGGUAUAAAAUGGAGAAGUUUACGCGCGACGUAAUAAAACAAAGAAGAGGGGAACGAGCAACGAUGGGGAAACGAAGUUGAAGCGAAGUUGAAGUGAGCGGGUCGUUGCUCGUCGAGGAAUGGAAAGAAAGAGCGAUUGAGAGUCGUGUCCAAUUCAUUUAAGGAACUCUGGACGAGGAGGAGCUCGUUUUAAGCCCGUGGUUCGUCCGGAUUACAGCAUUCAACAACCACUGUAUGAAAACCAUCGCUGAAUACUCUCGUAGGAUUUGUCGUUUUCGAAUCGUGAAACUAUGAUCCGGAAAAGGGAUAACUCUUGAGUCAUAGGAUUUCCACGAGAUGUAUGCAAUCAACUCGGUGAUUCUCCGUCUUUUCGUAAUCACAAGAAAUCAGAAUUAUUGAACGGAGUCUCUGAGAAAUUAAUCUCUAUUUCGACUACACUCUGAUUACUCGUUCAAGAGAAAAGAAUUCGAGCACGAUAUUAAAAAAAAUCUAAUCUUUUGGAAAUUGGAAUCACGAGAUCUUGAGAAUAAUCUCUGUCGAGAGAUAUUAGUUGAGUAUGUACAAUUUAUUCAUAGACGGAUGGAGAUACUUCCAUUUAGAUUAAAAAGCAGAGAUCGUUACGUGCACUUUACGUUUCCAAGAAUGUUUAAUUUCCGAGCAUAUUUCAAAGAGGAAAUUCCACUAGGGCUCGUUUUUCCACGGACGAUCAAGGAGCAUUCCUGCUUGUGAAUUAUUUACGGCCGAAGAUGGUCCCCGCGCAUCGGUCAAACAUUCAUAAAGCUUCGGCACACCAUCUUUAACGCGUCUCUUUUCAAAAGUUGAUAAAGUAAACCGAACCAUUUCCCCAUCUCGUCACCUGUCUUUUCAUUAAUGGACAUCUCGGUCGUGUAAAGCUCGAUGAAUCUUUAAACAAUCGUUGACAAAAACCUUUGGAAGAAAGAUUCCAACAGCUUGCGCAAAUGACGUCGCUUGUGUGGGUGGAAUGAGAUCUGAAUAAUGAGCAUUCGAUAAUGAAAACGUUGGAAAAGAGUGAAAUCCUAAGGUGAAUUCAGAAAUGUGAUAUAACAAUCUAUGUUUAAUGCGAAGGAAAAAGAAGAAAGAAAUUUAAUUUAAUCAAUCUAAGGUUCUUUAGAAGUCAAAGACUUAUAGCAAAUGGUCAACCAAAGGCAAUUUAAUUAAACGUUAAUUACAGUUUUUCAAAGGAAUUCGAUAAACGACGUUCAACCUCGUUCAAUUCCUUAAAAAUUUCUUCAAUAAGAAAUAUAAUAUUACGUGUAAUUUGAUAUAAUUUACACGAAUAAGGAAAAAUUUAAAAUGAAUGCUAAUUUUCGUUAAUAAUAAAUCGUACAAUCUUUACCAUCAGCGAUCCUUAUGUUUUAUCAUUGUACCACGCGACAAAAGAGUGAGGAAGGAGAUAUAAAACGAUCCAAAGCAGGACAAAAUUAUGAGGUCUCGUAAAAGUGUUAUGAUAUGAAAAUGAAUAUGGGAUUUAUGCGUGUCGAGAAUCUGAUCUGGCACGAACCUUUCUGGGAGGAAAAAUGCGAGCAAUAAACUACUAGAGUAAACAAAUAUUGCAGCCGUGAAGAGAAGCAAAUCCGGCGUGAAAAAUCUGUUACUCUGUGAUUCGUGAUGUAUGAAAUUCAUAAAUAGUCGCAAUAGCCAUUCCCGGAGAACAAAUUUCAAUCUCAAUUUUAUCGAACCGUGUCACAUCCUGUUUCUUAUUACGUAAUUUCUUCACUCGAGUCGUUUAUUUACAUUAACUUUCCUCCGAAUUUAGAACUCGAAACCGUACAACUCGAAUCAUACGAGUUUCAUUGAGCAUUCAUUGGAGCACCAUCUCUCUCUCUCCAACCACUGCGUCCAUUCCAGCAAUAUGAAAAUGGAUGCUUUCUCGAGGAACAAUGACGCGACGAAACGAAGUGACACGGUAGUGUAAGACAGGUAACGCGAGCAGAGAACGCGAGGAGGUAGAACGGAAAUCAAACGGGAGAGCAUUGGGAAAGGGAAGAAGGAGAGAAAAGGGAAAAAAGAAAAGAGAAGAAAAAUGAUCGACCAGUAAUCUUAAUAAUGCUUUCAACCAAUCCAUUUCGCCCCGUUUCGUAACUUCCUUUCGCCCGGUGAAUUCACCGCACGAGGUAUCUUGGUCUGAAUUAUUCCUCUCAUAUAUUUCCUCCUUUAUUUGUUCCCGUAUUUCAUCCUCGGUUUAAAAAACACAGAAAAAUUCCAGAGUUUAAGUUCCAUGAUGAUUUAUCGAUCGAGAAUUAUUAACGCUAUUGCAACUAUGUGUUAAAUAGUUGCAAUAGUACGAUCCGUCUCAUCUUCUGAGAAUUUGGAUUUUAAUAGGAUAUGAUCGGAUUGAAAUUUACAUAUAAAAGAAGAAUAAUGGAAUGAGAAAGAUUUAUCGAUCGGUGUUAAAUAAAAUUCGUUUUAUACACACGUCUCUAUACCUCUUUCUCUUAUUUCUAGUCUUCUCUAGUCUUCGUCGAUAUUCGAUUAUACUAGCAAAGACUGUGCACAUAUUGACGAUUCGACUGUUUUGAAAACAAAUAAACCGCGAGAUUUACCGUUCUCGUUUCAAUAAACAAAAUAUUAAUCCAUGUUGACAAUAAACUAUAAAUAUUCACACGUCUGAAGAACGAUAAACAUCAUGGUAUCAUGGUAUAUACUUGCUCGAUCCCGUUCGAGAAUUUAUUACUAUCCAACAUCAAACACCGGUCCUGUUUUAAUUGCGCAACUUCCAACAUUAACGUUUGUUCUAUCGUCAUUCAUUUUCCAGUAGAAUGCAACCAUCGUUGUCGUGGCGAGUGUGAAACGGUUUAUACUCGGCUCGACGUGACAUUUAUUGACUUAUACAUUCGCUCCGAUUCUUUUCGAGAUAAAUAAAUCGCGCAGGAACACGUGCAGAUGCAUGCUUCGAUAUUCGCGAAGUCUGUUUCUUCUUUGAUGAUUUUGAAAGUAAGUGAUGAACGAUCGAUUGUAUAAACUCUGCAAAAGAUAAUAACCGAUGGAAAGAAACCAAGUUGUUUAAACGGUGUUCAAAUCUUUACUCGGAUCGCGAACAUCUUUAAUCCACUACUCGCAACGCUUGGAAGAAUAUUCGAAGAACAUUGGAAGAGAAUUACGAAAGAUGGAAGGCUUUUAUAUAAUUAUGAAAAAGAGGAAAGACUUGCAAUUCGUAAAAUAUCUAUAAAUUUGUAUUUGUUGUAGAAGAUGAUACUUAAGACCAGGAUAGGUUACUUGUCAAACCUGGUACCUUUGCCUAGUUUUUGCUAAAAAAAAAUGGCGCUCAUUUUAUGUUAAUCCAUCGCACCGUGUUCUUUACGAGGGUGUACGCGCAUGAAUACGUCGGCAUCGAAAUAUUAGCCGGAAUUUUCCAAGUGGAGGUGAAAAAGCGCGCGUGAUAUUUCACCUUUUUGCGGAACGCAUUCCCCCUCUUAUCUUUGCUCGAAUAUUGCGAAUCUCCUCGAAACGAGAAUUUCUACAAGUGCAAAAUUUCAUAAAGUACGUAAUUUCUCUUUAUCAUCUUAAUCCUCUCUCUCUCUCUUUUUUUUUGUAUAUUAAAUAACCUUCGAAUGAUAUGAAUCUUUCUUUAAUAUACAUCCAUCGGUAUUAUUAAAAAAAGUAUACAAAACUAGACGAGAAUCGUACUCGACAAAAUUCCAAUUAUUUUUUAUAAUUUUUACAACGCGAGUUUCGUGGUAUGGAGUUUGAAACGAAAAUUGGAAGUGUCUCUGGCGAGAAUUAAUUCUCUCGAUAAAAGAAGGAAGUCCGUGAAGGAAGAUUUAAAAGAGAUUUCCAUUUCAAGCACCUCGGUAAACUGAGGCAAUCGUUAUCUAAUCGCGUAUCCGUAAAGAAGGAUCUUUCACGCUCCCCGCUAAUUACCCUGUAAUUAGAGGUUCUUUUGACUGCGAGCAAUCGGCUGGAAAGUUUCCACUAAUAAGUCCUUCCUCGACUUACUCUAAUUCACCUUUCUCUCUCUCUCUCUCUCUCUCUCUCUCUCUCUCUCUUUCGAGAGAGAACGAGAGAAAGAGAUUCAUUUUCCACCCUAAUCCUUGUUAUUUUCCUAGGGAAGAAAUUAUCCUAGGAAAGAUAUUAUUUCAUCAGAAGAUACAUCCUUUGUAGCUUACAUAUUUUUGACAAAUCGUUUGUAUCUCUUUCGAAUGAAUUCAAUGUGCAUACUGAAUUUUCGUGAAAUUAGACAAUAUAGGGAAAGAAAGAAAUUUCAUUAAAGUGUGGAAUUCGUGAAAGUUAUUUUUUCGUAUCAUCGUGCGAGAUGAAAUAUUCAAAAUUUGCGGUAAUUUACAGGGACAAUGUAAAUGGUGGAAAUUGGAUCGCGCAAGGCAUGUACCCCUUCCUCUUCGUUACGUUAAUAAUCAUAAUAGAAUCUCGAUGAAGAAUGGGAAGCGAGGCGAUACUGACAACGUUUAUACCAAUUCUCGUCGCGUUGGUUGUGAUCGACCAAUAUUUGAACCGUUUCAACCGUUUCAUUCCCAAAAGAGACGAGAGGAGAGAUAAUUCGUGAUUGGGAGAGUGAUAAAGUAACGAGUUAUCGAUUUGCCGGCUAGCGGCCGCUAUGAAUAUUCAGAAUCCUUGACAGGCGAAUUAAAACAAAAAAAAAAGAAAAAAAAGAGGAUAUGAAGAAUCCAGGGGAUGGCGGAGUGUCCAGGAGGAAAGGGACUUAUCUUUCAGUCCACAAAUUUUCGAUCGAUGCGCCGAAGAUAUUCCAGGAAUUUUCUCAUUUUCGCUCCUCCUGUCUGCCCCUCUCGCUUCAAAGAAAGAAAGAAAAAGGAAGGGGAAGGGGAAAAAAUCAAAAUUUCCAAAAAUUAAGUUUCUCGAUGCGAAGCCCCUUUUUUGGAAAAAGGAAAAACUCAUUUCCUGCAGAGAGACGAGCUCUACGAUAAAUAAAUUUUGUUGUUGAAUGAAAGAAUUACGCUAUUCCUCUCUCUUUCUAUUGAAGAUGAGUAAAAUUCGAGGAAUCUAAAAAAAAAGAAAAAGAAAAUACAAGUUCAACAGGACGACAGUUUUUCAAAACGUCGCGUUACGACUACGUUUCUCGACUAGAUUCAACUAGAUGCAAUUUACACUGUUAUAUACACGUUCGAUACACGACGUCACGACGAAUAUCGCGCGCUAUCGAUUUCAUAUCCCUUUCUUUUUUUUUCUUCUUUCACCAACAAAUAUACGCAAAUGCAAAUAUCUGUAAACGUACGCCACCGCAAAUAUUUAACAAUAUGGACUACUGGUUAUUUCCUCAUUUAUGCUCGGCGAACGCAUGGAUUGCGCCGCACUUCAGCCCCGUUCGAAACAAUAAAUUAACAAACUGUGAUGAACAUCGGCUGGCAAAUAUAAUUUCCCCGAGAAUCUCAGAAUCUGUCAACUCGCCGCUAUUAUCCGCAAGUGUGCCACGCUCGAAAUCACGCACGCUACCCCCGAAACAGAUCGCGCACUCGGAUCAAGUUGAUUCGACCGUGAAUAUCGCGAUAUUAACUUGUUUAAACUGUUUCAAAUUAUUACAAAUUCGUAAUUCGUAAGCGGAGAUGUGUUAACGCACAAAUGUGUUUGAUGGAAAAAGUAAAAAUUGCCGAAUACUUAUGCUGUUUAUAGUACGAUACGUGUUUUUCAAAAAGAAAUUCAUUUCAUGAUAAACAAUUAUCGUAUUUGGACGAACUAUAACUAUAAUCAUGAUCAAUAAUUAAUAAAGAAAUAUAAGAAGAUAUAUAGAUGGAUAUAAUUUUUUGGAAUAUUUCAAUAACCAUGGUGGUAUAAUGUUACAACGGAUAUAUGGUGCAAGCAUGUAUUUGCCAUUUUCAGUUACGGUCUAUUGCCUGCAACUAAUGGGAACGACGUCAAACGGCAACAUGUAACCCACAUGUCAGUUAUGAAGUCGGCCUUCCCUUCGAUUGUGUGUAUACGAUUAUUAGUGCGUGACUGUGCUCGUAAUGCAGUUGCAGUUGCGAUCGAUACGAGAUCCUUCGUAAUGCGACCACGUACGAAUGUGACGCCUCUUUAAAACAAGCCCGGAUUAUCACAAGAGGAAACGACUGCUGAAACGGUUCAAAUUUACAUCGUAUUAUUAUUAUUAUUCUUCCAGAUUAUUUUUUUCCAACUUUACAAAUUUAACCACUCGAAUCCACGUAGGAGGAAAAUUCUCGAAAUACGUUUAUUUAAAAAAAUAUACGGAUGAACGAGCGUGUACGAAGAUAUUUCCCAAGCAUCGCGAAUAUACACCGUCAUCGCGCGUAUUGCACGCGGAUAGUCGUCCAAUAACGGAAGCGGUUCGCCCGGAAAUAACUUGGUGAUGAGCAAUAAAUUGUCGCGGGGGCGGAGAUUCCGCUGUUUGAUCGGGAAUCAUGGAAGCGGUGACAUCCCGGAAACCGAAUGGGAGACGAACAGAGUAUCCCUUUUUGGAUUGGAGAAUUCCAAUUAUGGGGAUCGCAACGUGAUUCAGGCUGGGAUACUGGAGGGAAUUCUUGCAGAAAAUUAAGCGAGUUUGCGAGGCGAGAUAAUUAAACGUCUCGAAUUUUUCCCCGCGUUAUUUCCAUAAUUUAAUCCAUAGUUUAGCGGUUUUAAGAAGCGGUUUUGGAAUAAAUCGACGAAUAUCUCGAACUCGUGAUCGGAAGUUCUUCAGAAUUCUAUUUUUUGUUUGUUUAACUCGCUCGUGCGGAAUUUAUGGAAUGCGAGAAAAUUGCUUCGGGAAAUUAGCAUGGCAAAUUGCGCUUUAUUAUGAUUUAACGCCUGAUCCUAUGAUAAAACUGGCAUCGAUUAACCAUCCGCAACAGAUUUCUGCAUUCAGAUUUUAUAAACGGAACGGGAUAAUCGUUCGAUCGAAUUUAUCGUAUCGAGCUUCCGUGUUUCAUCGUACGUUUCAUUCGAUGGACGAACUUUUGAUCGGAUAAUUAAAGAAGAGGGAGGAGGAGGAGGAGGAGGAGGAGAAGAGAAUUGCUCGAAGACGAGGGAAUAUGAAUCGGUCGAGAAAGAAAAUGAUGGAAUGAAAAUUCGUUCCAUCACCGAGCUUUCCAUUUAAAUUCACGGAAUUCGCGUUUAAUAGAUUUUAAAUCGCUCGAAAAAUCUGGUUGGUUGGAAAAAAGUGGCCAUCCACCACCAUUCAUCGUUAGAUGCAAACUUGGUGGUCGCAUUCGGGGCACGUGGGCGAGGGAAAAAGAACGUUCACGAGCUUUUCACAAGGAAACGAGGACGAAAAAGAUGGAAGAAUCCUGGCGCUAAUUGCUCGUUGCGUUACCUCGAGUCGGCCGUGCCUCUCUCUCGAUAAUAUUUCUCUUCUGAUCGCUGCCCAUCCUUUAGACAUCCUUUUCUUCGAAGAGAUCAAAGGGUUUGUUGCGAAAAGAAAAGAAAAACUCAUUUUCCCCAUUACGGACAAGCAUUAUCGAUCGUUUGGCCAGUUUUGGCAAGCGAAAAACUGGAUGUCCGAGUUUGAGGCCCGUAACAGGAAACUAUGUACAAUUAUAGUCGAGUUUAAUUAAUGAUUUCACGGAGACUUUACUGCGUUCUGUCGACAAAACGAAUCGCAAAUAGACGAUCGAAGAAACGUUUGACCAGAGAUAAGCCAGCACCGAAAGGGAAUGAAACAUUCAAACUUCCCUCGAACUUGGAGACUUAUAAGAAGUUGGUACGGCGAUGAACGUUGAUUAUCCAAACGUCGCUUAAUGAAAACGCUCAGUUAUCCGAGGGAUUGUUAGAGUACAGAACAAAUUUAUUACUUAAAUUAAAUUGAUAAUUCAGACAUGAUACGUGUAUAUAUUUCGAAAAUUCUGGAAUUAUAUUAUUGAAUAAUUCAUCGUGUAAUAACAUAUAUACAUAAUGAAUUCGAGUUUUGAAUAAUUGAAUGCGAAUUUAUAACGCUGUAAACGGGUGUAAAUAAGUGAGAAAAUAUAUAUCGUCAAUUAAUAAAUUCGUCGGCCCAAAUAAUAACGGGAGCUCGAUCGAUUUCGGUAAAUUACAUCUGAAAUCCAUAUUAAACGAAUUCUACAUUUAAAAACAAGGAAACGAACUAUGACUUCGAAUUUCGUUUCGCGAAUUUAACGUUAAUCGUAAAUCAACUCUGUCCCCGAUAUUUCACAAACACGUGUACGCGCGGAUGAAGAGAUUUUAGAGCCUUUAAAAAAAAGGGGAUCGGGUUAGAGUUACAGGGUCUUCCGGUAACACGGUUACCUUUUUCCACAUAGUCGUUUGCAUACUAUUUGCGCGAACGGCGGUGAUGCAUAUGCAUGCGAAGCAUCGGCGAAAUCCUUGUCUCCGAUGUUGGAAGAAAGUCGAACGACCGAGAGAGAGGAAGAGGGACGGAGAGAACCGAGAUAGAUAGUAGCGGACAGAGAUGGAUAGAAGGGAUAGAGCGGUUGAAACGACGAGAGCGUGGUAAUAUUCCGUAAUUAGCAGGGCGCAUCGUGCCUUUCUAAUAUCGAUUUUGCUUACACCGCGAAUAAUAAUGCCCCCCCAAUUAGGUGUAAUAUCGUUGGGUCGCGGUCGAUUUAGGAAAUGAAGAAUUUCGAAGGGAGGGAGGGUCUCUCAAGCGUUAACGUCGAUCGAUCGAUCGAUCCAUACUCGUUCUAUACGUUCUACUUGACGCUGCUUGCGAGUGCUGAUUAAUUACAAUAUCCAGAAACCUUCAUCGAACAGAUUAAUCUACUAUUUCUGCGUUUUUCGUCGGAUGAUCGAUCGAUGGAAUUCUGGUAUAUCUUUAAAAAUUCUUUGCAUGUUAUCUGCGUAUGGUGAGGACCAAAUUAUUCUUAAAUUUAUUCGUAAUCAAUUGAAAAUUUUAAACGGAGAUUAUAAAACGAGAUGGCAAACGUGAGAUUUUUUUUUAAAAAUAACGAAGUAACGUAUUAGAAUUAUGUUGAUCGAAUAUCAAAUAAUAUUCGUCAUAGAAGAAACAUAUCACCUGCGUGAUGGUAAACAUUAUUAGUCAAACUUCUGCGAAACUACGAUAUAAACACAACGAUGUUCCAAUACCUCGUGUUAUUCCACGAACCGAUUCAUUUCUACGAAACUAUAAGUCGCGUAUAUAAACAAUAACAGCAAAACCACGCCCGUGAAUUCUCGUUUCUACGUUAUCAGUACAAGUUUUCGAGCGGUAAGGAACGGACGCGUACAAUCGAGGCAAGAUUUCAAUCGCAUCUUUCUCUUCCUUUUAAUCCAGUAUUAAGUUCGGUCAACUGAAGUCUUCUUUCAUCGGGCCAUUAUGGAGCACGGGCAUUACGAAUGCACUUUGUGUCGUUGUGUUAUUUCCAUGUAUCUGGGGUGGAGGGUGUCGCUUUGACGUCUCGCCACGGCUCCCGUUUGAAAGAACGAUCGUCACAAAGGAGACGUUCCGUCACGAGACCACCUGCCUCGCCGGGCCAACCCGUACUUCCUCCUGUAUAUAACGGCGGAAAGAUUUCUCCCGAGUAUAGCGCGUCUGAGAAUGUGCAUUAUUCAUUCGACGGUAGCGAGGACCCGGUGGAGGAAAGUUUUUGACGCUCGAAUCUAUUGUGCGAGGGGAUGAUUGAUCGCGAGGAAUGCGGUUAGAGAGAUCUCGAUGACGAUGAACAAAUAUCGUGCCACUGUUCAAUCCUGUGCGUCCUCUAUAAAGUUGGAAUAUACACGAAGAUAGGAAGAAGAUGAUUGUUGAUAUCAUUCGAGGAAUUUAUUAUUCUGUUGAUAUCGAUUUGAAGAAAGCAUCGAAUAAUAGAAGAGACGGAUUCUUUUUAGAGUUCCAUAUUUCAUUCAGAAUUCUAUUAUCCCGAAUAUAUUUAGCGAUAUUGGCAACGUGUUAACAAUAAUAGACUCAGAAACAAUAGGGAUCCAUCGAUCACUAUAACCCGUCAAUCCAGAUGGAAGAUAUCGGGAACUGAUUAAAGUAAUAAUUUAUUUUCCCUCAAACAUCGCACGUGGACAUCGAUCAGAAGUUUUUGACACGUUGAAGAAAUGGAGACGAAAAAGAGACGGGUUCCAUUGCUCUAAGAAGAUCAAACGAAUGAAAUGGAACUUGGAUAUAUAUAUUUUUAAAAACACGGUAUUAAAGGGGAACUUUGUAUCGUUUUUAAAAUACUCGUUGUCAAAAAUCUUCGUGCAACGAAAAUUAUUACAGGGAAUCGAUAACGUGUAACCACGAAAUAAAAGAAGACAUUAAAAAUCGAUAUGCGAUUUUAAUCUAAACACAUGAAUAUUGGACAUCCUAAAUAUAAUUCAAGAAAAACGAAUUGAA
Long non-coding RNA from Apis mellifera (honey bee), 13338 nucleotides. RefSeq lists it as uncharacterized. The record is from RefSeq and is a predicted model, not a curated record. The transcript has 3 exons. NCBI's taxonomy places the organism in Eukaryota, Metazoa, Arthropoda, Insecta, Hymenoptera, Apidae.